This 502-nucleotide ribosomal RNA is filed under the name uncultured bacterium. Its description in RNAcentral is "partial 16S ribosomal RNA". It matches the Rfam family "Bacterial small subunit ribosomal RNA", at positions 30 to 523 of the family's 1533-position model. The record is from RNAcentral.
AUUGAACGCUGGCGGGAUGCUUAACACAUGCAAGUCGAACGGUAACAGACUCUAGCUUGCUAGACUGCUGACGAGUGGCGGACGGGUGCGUAACGCGUAGGAAUCUGUCUAAGUGUCUGGGACAACACGGGGACACUCGAUCUAAUACCGGAGAAUCUUAGCGAAGGAAAGAUGGGGACGAGCCUGUCGCACAUAGGGGAGCGUGCGUCAGAUUAGCUAGUUGGUGGGGUAAAGGCCUACCAAGGCGACGAUCUAUAGCUUUUAUGAGAGGAAGACCGGCCACACUGGGACUGAGACACGGCCCAGACUCCUACGGGAGGCAGCAGUGGGGAAUAUUGGACAAUGGGGGCAACCCUGAUCCAGCAAUACCGCGUGUGUGAAGAAGGCCUGAGGGUUGUAAAGCACUUUCGGCGAGGAGGAAGGGUAUAUGGUUAAUACCCAUAUAUUUUGACGUUACUCGAAGAAGAAGCACCGGCUAACUCUGUGCCAGCCGCCGCCGUAA